Pelobates cultripes (western spadefoot toad) is the source of this 230-nucleotide non-coding RNA. Lineage: Eukaryota; Metazoa; Chordata; Amphibia; Anura; Pelobatidae. The record is from the annotation of a GenBank genome assembly.
CGUACAUUCCCUGUGUUGUCAGUUAGGUUCAACAAGAUGGGGAGUGAGCAGAGUACAGAAGUAUCUUUUUGUGAUAAGGGGGUUGUUAACUCAACUUGUCCAUCUGCAGUAAAGGUAAUGGAAGCCUGGAGCCGAGAGAGGACAUCGGCACCUAGGAGGUUAAUGGGGCAAGUGGAAGAAACAACAAAACGGGACAGAAUGUGUGAACCUACAUGUAAGAGCUUAGUAAG